Long non-coding RNA from Psammomys obesus (fat sand rat), 650 nucleotides. RefSeq lists it as uncharacterized. NCBI's taxonomy places the organism in Eukaryota, Metazoa, Chordata, Mammalia, Rodentia, Muridae. The transcript is spliced from 3 exons. The record is from RefSeq and is a predicted model, not a curated record.
CAAGGGGACCCUAAAAAUGCCUAACUCAGCAGCACGGCGAAAAUGGAGACCUCGGAGCAAGGAGCAUGUGAAAGGACCAGCCCUGCAGAUCCAAAGCUGCAGAAUCUCCAUGACACAGACAACAGGGCAUCCUAGAGGAAUCCCAGUGAGGACCCAGCACUGGUGGUACAGCAGAAGCCGGAGGCCUCAAACCAGACCAAUGACUCAGUGCAAUGAACACUGGCAAAUAUGGGACAUGGACCUUAUUCAGAUUAUCCACAGAAGCCGACUAUUUGCUUUGUGUAGGCUCUGAGAGGGGCCCUUUGCCAGCUAAAGAUAGUUUAAUUCUGAGGACUCGGGGGAGGGAAUAAUGCCAGAGCCCAGAGAGAGAAAGGGGGUUCAGAGAAGAAUGCUGCUGCUCCCCCUUCCCCCCUCCCCCGCUGCUCCUGGCUGCUGUUGAUGCAGUGUGAUGAGAAGAAGCUGGAGAUCUCCUGAAAGGAAGAUUGGACUUUCAACAAGGAACCCGACAACCCUAACCAGCAGGAAGUAGCCAAAGAGAACUAUGCCCCUUUCCCUAUUAACCUUCUUUCUCUCCUACCUGGUGUUGGGGUGUUGGAAGGGAUUGGGGUGAAGAAUAGAGGAAGAGGUAUAAGAAACUACAACAAAAUAAA